AGCAGAGCCAACUAGAAGGCUUUCAGCUUAAUGCAAACACAUGAAAGAGCUGCUGUGAUCAGAAGUACUAGCCAUCGGAGACCAGUCUAAAGUUCAAACCUGAAGAAUUGUGAAAAUCUAAUCAUUAUAUAAAUGGAUAUGCCAGGAGCAAUUUCUGUUUCCAUGAAGAAUGUAGAAGGUUUUCAGAGUGAUUAGAUGAUCGCCCUGGAAAGCAAAUCAAUGUUUUAAGAAAGAGCAACUCGGAAGAGCCAAGCCUGGUAGCAGGAAGACAGAAGGCUACUGCCGUCCACUAAGUAACCACUGG
Zalophus californianus (California sea lion) is the source of this 304-nucleotide long non-coding RNA. RefSeq lists it as uncharacterized. The record is from RefSeq and is a predicted model, not a curated record. NCBI's taxonomy places the organism in Eukaryota, Metazoa, Chordata, Mammalia, Carnivora, Otariidae. The transcript is spliced from 3 exons.